GAUGAACGCUGGCGGCGUGCCUAAUACAUGCCAGUCGAGCGAACGGACGAGGAGCUUGCUUCUCUGAUGUUAGCGGCGGACGGGAGAGUCACAUGUGGAUAACCUACCUAUAAGACUGGGAUAAUUUCGGGAAACCGGCGCUAAUAGCGGAUAAUAUUUUGAACCGCAUGGUGCAAAAGUGAAAGACGGUCUUGCUGUCACUUAUAGAUGGAUCCGCGCUGCAUUAGCUAGUUGGUAAGGUAACGGCUUACCAAGGCGACGAUGCAUAGCCGACCUGAGAGGGUGGUCGGCCACACUGGAACUGAGACACGGUCCAGACUCCUACGGGAGGCAGCAGUAGGGAAUCUUCCGCAAUGGGCGAAAGCCUGACGGAACAAGGCCGCGUGAGUGAUGAAGGUCUUCGGAUCGUGAAGCUCUGUUAUGAGGGAAGAACAUAUGUGUAAGGAACUGUGCAGAUCUUGACGGUACCUAAUCAGGAAGCCACGGCUAACUACGUG
RNAcentral lists this ribosomal RNA (497 nucleotides) under uncultured bacterium. RNAcentral describes it as "partial 16S ribosomal RNA". It matches the Rfam family "Bacterial small subunit ribosomal RNA", at positions 28 to 507 of the family's 1533-position model. The record is from RNAcentral.